RNAcentral lists this long non-coding RNA (388 nucleotides) under Daucus carota (carrot). RNAcentral's name for it is "long non-coding RNA (DCAR_LNC001098)". Lineage: Eukaryota; Viridiplantae; Streptophyta; Magnoliopsida; Apiales; Apiaceae. The record is from RNAcentral.
UCAACCAUUGCACAGUUAAAUAAACCACUAGAAUAAAGUGAAUAAUUGGUGUGUGAAGUCUUGUGGUGUUCGUAACGCAUUUACACUGCGAAGCGCUCUGACCUUAGACCGAGCAAUUAAUCACCAAUAAAAAGAAAAAAAAAUAGUGAAUAAAAUAGAAGGGUGUGGACAUUCUUUGGGACCUUGGCUUUUAGUUGGACUUGAGUGACGGGGUGUUAGUUUUAAACUUUUACGAUUCUUGAUUGGGAUUCUGUGGGAGUAGUAGUUUUUGUCUUGUCUCAAUAAAAGAGCAUGCUUGCACACACUGGCACUCCACACUUGUAAAUAGAAGAGUAAUUGACUUAGUAGUGAGAGAGAUGAAAUUCGAGAACAUUAGCACAAUCUGAGG